This 519-nucleotide unclassified non-coding RNA is filed under the name Amphibalanus amphitrite. Its description in RNAcentral is "uncharacterized LOC122380938, transcript variant X2". Lineage: Eukaryota; Metazoa; Arthropoda; Thecostraca; Balanomorpha; Balanidae. The record is from RNAcentral.
AGAACAGGGAGGUGAACUGAUGGACCAGCAGACAUUCCCCGCCGGCGUCAGGAGGUCGGUGCCAACCGUGAACGGCGGAGCAGAUCGAUCGAGAAACUGAGGGAUACCUACCCGGCAUAGUUCGAAAAAGAAGAGGGAACGGCCCAUUGAGCCUCCUCUGCAUCUUGGCGGAGAAGGCGUCAGUGGUGGCGUACACGGGUUACGAAAAUUUGGAUCACCCCUAUCAUAACAAGUCCGAAGAAAACGAACGGUGCCGCCUCAUCGUGGAGCGAACGGAAGUCUUGUGGGGAUCCAUGGUUUGGAAGGGAGUCUUUUGCUGUGGGCGACGGCGCACUUUGUGCUCAGUCAACAAACGGCGCACAAAGUGCGAAACACGCUGUGGUUUGUGUGUAUCCAUGUGCUCCACACACCAUUCAAUGCUGAGCGCCAGCCACCUGUAUAGCCGCGAAGGCUGAGGUCGAGAAGCUGGCAAAAGAGUGAAGCUGAGCUGACGUGGAGUCGAUCCCCCCCCCCCCCGAC